AAUAUACUCCCUCCGUCCCAAAAUUCUUGUCUCAGAUUUAUCUAGAUACAGUGUACUUACAUCCGUAUCUAGACAAAUCUAAGACAAGAAUUUUGGGACGGAGGGAGUAUUUG
Triticum urartu is the source of this 113-nucleotide non-coding RNA. The record is from Rfam. Lineage: Eukaryota; Viridiplantae; Streptophyta; Magnoliopsida; Poales; Poaceae.